Molecule: long non-coding RNA, 3705 nt
Organism: Rhineura floridana
Lineage: Eukaryota; Metazoa; Chordata; Lepidosauria; Squamata; Rhineuridae
Exons: 3
Source: RefSeq, a predicted model, not a curated record
AGAUCAUGUUUCAAGGGAUGCUGCUCUGUGGGUAGCUGUUGGAAAUCAUCUGUGCUGACGUGUGGUGUUUGGCUGAUACAAUCCACAAUCAUAGGAAGCCGCCUUACGUCCAGCUCCCGUAUAAGGUGCUGGACCCCUGCGGAGCCUGCCUCUUGCCAUGAAGCAGGCACUGAAACUGGAGCUCAAUGGGGAGGCCCUGCCUCCACUGCUAGAACAUAUGGACGCUAGCUGGACUCCUGCAUUUGAGAAGGGAACGCAGGAAGCUGUCUUAGACCAGGAUCUUUGCAUAAAAGAAGACGAACGUCUCUGGGGGAAAGAGUGUGACCUAACCAUCUGCAGUGUGCUCUACGUGGGGAUGACCUUGGUCGGAAAGCUGCAGCUAAUGCAAAAUGUGAUGGCUCCACUGAUCACUGGGGCAAGAUAUCGAUGACGUUAUGCCACUGCAAAAAAAAUUGCAUUGGCUGCCAAUUAACUACUGGGCUAAGUUCAAUGUGCUGGUCCUAUACACUCCUAUACAGCUUGGGACCAGGAUAACUAAAAGAACAUCUCACCCCUUAUAUACCAAAUUGAUCACUGCGCUCUGCAGGUGAGGGCCUCCUGCAGGAGCCAUCUCAUUAGGAGGUCUGUUGUGCACAACACAAGAAUUGGGCCUUUAGUGUUGUGCCACCUACCCUUUGGAAUUCCCUCUUUAACAGGUGCCAUCUCUGUCGUCCUCUUGACACCUACUGAAGACCUUCCACUUCCAACAAGUCUUUUCAGUAGAGAUCUUUCCCAGUCUGCAUCAAUACUGGAUUGUUUUUAGGUAUUUUUAGAUGUUUUAUCAUUAGUGUGUUUGCUGGCUUUGGGAAGAAGGGUGGGAUAUAAAUUUAAAUAAUAAUAAUACCUGACAUGCCAGUUUUCUAUAUGCAGGCUUUUGAGGUGGGGUGGAGUGGGACAUUCUAAUGCUAAGGCCAAGAAACAACUUUGAGGCUAUGUCUUAUUCAGCAAAUGUUGAUAGUUAGGGCACACUGGACCCCUACACUCUUCCAAACUCUAGGAAUAAUCCCCACUGAUUAUUGCUGAAAAUGUGCACACCACACACACCUCUUAUAUGGAUUGAAGUUUGUAUCAGGAUAAAUAGCUCCUCGUAAACAUUUGAGAGGAUCUAAGCCAUUAUUAUUAUUGUUGUUGUUAUUGUUGUUAUUAUUAUUAAAUUUUAUUUAUACCCCGCCUUUCGGCCAAAGGCCCUCAAGGUGGCUUACAAAGGAAAACAAACACAGGUAUAAAAAUACAAUAAAAGCAAUACAAUUUACAAAAAUUAAAUAAAAUAACGAAUAACAUUAUCAUUAUCGGCACCACCAAGAAGGAGGAGGUGGUGUUAGCGGGGGUGGCAGCUCCCGAGAGGCAGAAGGGUGACAGGCAUUUGUUACAGCAAAGCUGUUUGCUGUUUCAAUGUUGUCUUCCUCUCCAUGUCCUUGGGCUCGCUCCCCGGGCUAUUUGGCUGGACCCUAACUGACUGGCCCCACAUGCGUAAGAACACAACUGUACCCUUAGUUAUUGGAAGUGUAACUCCCCAGGAAUCCACGAGAGAUGGCCUAAUGAAAUGCUAACACAAGCAGCCUCAGAGCAGUUGAGAUACACGAUCCCUAGAAAAAGGUGUGCAUUUGGGGUGGAUUUUUGCAGCUGUACAUGGUCUAUAGAUUGCCCUCUUCCACAAAAGAAGAGGAAGUAAACUGGAUAAAUUUAAGCAAUUGGUAAGAAGGCCUUUGUACGACAGUGAUAAAUUAUAUGUGAUUAUGUGAUGUGUGUACGCAUGCAUGCACACACACAUUACAGAAACACAAACAUACGCACAGUAUGUUUCUCUCUUGCUGCAUUUCAGCCUUCGCUAAGCUGGUGCCCUCCUGUUGUUUUGCACUACAACUCCCAACAACCCCAGCCAGUGGAGAAAUAGGCACGGGAAAAUGGGGUUCAUUUGUUCACAUAAAAAUAACCAAAAAUAUUUCAUUAAAAUGUCAAUUUAAAAAGCCACCACAGAAAUAUUGUAGGUUUGCACACAAGCACACCCACCUGGUCACCUACAGUGGAUAGCAGCAACACUGUCCAGUCUUACAGAAAUCUGGCUCUCCUGUGGUCUUUUGGACCACAAAUGCAAAACAUAGGUGUGCACAGGCAGUCAGGCUAGUAACAUCUGUAGCUUUAUAUGCAAUGAGGAAGGACUGCCUACGUGCCAUGAGCUUCUGAAGGACACCUUAUGAGUGCAAACGAGUUGAGCGGUUUCAAAGCCAUUUAAAAAAUCAAGACAAUAUGCUUUGCUAUUCAUCUGGCAUAGUAUUUCCAUUGCUCGAAAAUGUUCAAUGCCUGCUCACAUCCUGUGUAUCAAUUCUACUUACUGCAGGAGAAAAUGUAUGGAGGGCAAGCUAUUACAAACACAAAUGUAGGCUACUCAAAAAGGAUUUUAGUAGGACAAAAGAAUGCUAUUUGAAACUCAAGGACAGUAGAAAAAGCAUUUCUUCAGUAUGUUACAUACAAUGGCUUGGAUUUAAAAAAAAACAAACAAACAGAAGGAGACUAUGUAUUAGUGCUGCUCCCUGAACUCUUGAGCAAGCACUACCGGAAAGCUUCUUGCAGGACAGCACCACCUACGAAGAUGCCUUAAAUCUAGUUGGAACACUGGUCCAUCUAGACCAGCAUUAUCUACACCAAGAGUCACCAAUCUUGUGCAAUGAGUGCCACUCCCUCUGGUCACUUCUCCAUCCCUCUCCCAGAUCAGCUCCCACCUACGGGGGGGGAGGGGGAGGGAGUGCACAUGUGCUCAUUUCAUUUUCCAUGGAAUCUGGGGACAAAUUGGAUCCAGAAGAACUAAUCUGAGCCUUGAAAAACACACAUAAAGUGGGAAAGGAUGUAACUUUUCCAACUUCCUCCUUACAUAGGAAGCUGCCUUACACCGAAUUGGCUCCUAUAAUUUAAUAUUGUCUACACUGACUGACAGCGGAUCUCCAGGUUUUCAGAAGUCUCUCAGCCCUACCAGGAGAUGCCAAGUUUUGAACCUGGGACCUUCUGCAUGCAAGUCCAAUGAGCUGCCACUGAGCCAUCUUCCCCUCCUUCAGCUAUACGUACUUUGCAAGGGAGAAAAAGGUAACCAUCCACACCACCAAUGGCACAAUGGUGGUGGUGGAGGCUCAGAGGCUUCAUGGAUGCCAGGAGAAGGCUACAUCAGCAACCCCUGGUCUACACAGGCUGGCAGCAACUCUCCAAAGUAUCAGCCAGAAAGAGUUCUUUCCUGGUCAUGCUGCCUUACAAAGAGAGGUCAGGUAUUGGUCUUGGCACCUUCUACAUGCAAAGCUUGUGUUCUUCCAUUAUAGCUCCUUGUGAUGUUCCUGAUUUGUAAUGUAAAUAUGGUAGGUGCUGGUAUAAUAUAAGACAUAUGGUAAGUGGAGUGAAAGAGGAGGGGGAGUACAUGGGCUGUAGAAUGAUGGAUGAUUGGCUGAGUGUUUGAAUGGCUGGGAGUAUAAAUGGAAGGAUGACAGUUGAAUGUGGGUGGUUGUUGUUGGUGGAGAGGUUGGUGUGGAGAGUAUAAGGUGGCUGUUGAGAGAGUGAAACAGGAGUUCUGAGGCAAUUAUUAGGAAGCAGAAGUACAUAAGAAAACAUAUAUGAAACCAUAAGCUUGUCAACAAAGUAAUUAAGUAAUCUUGCUAUUUUUAGUGUUCAAUAAAUAUUUCUUGG